This 64-nucleotide microRNA precursor is filed under the name Pan paniscus (pygmy chimpanzee). RNAcentral describes it as "miRNA (ENSPPAG00000018273.1)". The record is from RNAcentral. Lineage: Eukaryota; Metazoa; Chordata; Mammalia; Primates; Hominidae.
UGCUAAAGUGAUUGCGGUUUUUGCCAUUAAAAGUAAUGGCAAAAGCCGCAAUCACUUUUGUACC